AUGUUUUCUGACGAAGCUCGUUGUCAGAUUAUCACCAUUAUGCAUGCAAUAUGGACCUCGAGGAACAAAUGGACCCACGAUCAGGAGGGUUUCUCCCCAGGGCAAGCGCUCAAGUGGAUCCAUGAAGCCCUCGCCAUACUCGAUUUACCUGACCGUCGACCAGGUGUACAGACGGGACGGAGCUGGAACCCCCCUGAUGUGGGGUGGAUCACCAUCAACGUUGAUGGUUCAGUUUUCCCAGACGGGUUGACAGGAGAAGCAGGCGGCGUAGCCCGAUCUCACAUUUCCUUUGUGGGGGCUUGGUGCAAACCGUUGGAGGGGGUCUCGGAUCCUUUCAUUGCUGAGCUCCUAGCGUUUCGGGAGGGUGUGAUCUUCGCUCAUCUACGCGGGAUGUCACAUGUGAUAAUGCAGGUCGACUGCAUGGAGCUGGUCACCCAAUGGAGUUCGCGCGGCAACUCAAGAUCGAUUGCAGCGCCUAUCUUUCAAGAACUUGAAGCUUUAGUCCUUAAUUUUGUUUCUUUCUCGGUUCAACAUAUUAGUAGGGAACUUAAUUUCCCUGCCCAUCUGUGUGCACAGCGUGCCUGUGCCAUGGAGGGCACGGAUUGUUGGCUCGAAGCAAGUUCAGAUUUCUUGGUCACUAGCCUACGGGCAGACUGUAACCGUAUGAUCAUUCGUUAA
This 678-nucleotide ribosomal RNA is filed under the name Triticum aestivum (bread wheat). Its description in RNAcentral is "partial small subunit ribosomal RNA". Lineage: Eukaryota; Viridiplantae; Streptophyta; Magnoliopsida; Poales; Poaceae. The record is from RNAcentral.